This 77-nucleotide transfer RNA is filed under the name Bacteriophage sp. RNAcentral describes it as "tRNA-Leu". It matches the Rfam family "tRNA". From Rfam's summary of the family: Transfer RNA (tRNA) molecules are approximately 80 nucleotides in length. Their secondary structure includes four short double-helical elements and three loops (D, anti-codon, and T loops). The record is from RNAcentral.
GUCGAAGUGAUGGAACUGGCAUACAUAUUGGACUUAAAAUCCAAGUUUUGGGGGUUCAAAUCCCCUCUUCGACACCA